UGAGGAAUUUUGCGCAAUGGGGGAAACCCUGACGCAGCAACGCCGCGUGAGUGAUGAAGGCCUUCGGGUCGUAAAGCUCUGUCAAGUGGGAAGAACCUGCCUGGUGAUAAUACCAUCGGGCACCGACGGUACCACUGAAGGAAGCACCGGCUAACUCCGUGCCAGCAGCCGCGGUAAUACGGGGGGUGCAAGCGUUAUUCGGAAUCAUUGGGCGUAAAGGGCGCGUAGGCGGUCUUUUAAGUCAGAUGUGAAAGCCCUCGGCUUAACCGAGGAAGUGCAUUUGAUACUAAAAGACUUGAGUAUGGGAGAGGGAAGCGGAAUUCCUGGUGUAGCGGUGAAAUGCGUAGAUAUCAGGAGGAACACCGGUGGCGAAGGCGGCUUCCUGGACCAAUACUGACGCUGAGGCGCGAAGGCGUGGGGAGCAAACAGG
RNAcentral lists this ribosomal RNA (430 nucleotides) under uncultured Desulfobacteraceae bacterium. RNAcentral's name for it is "bacterial SSU rRNA". It matches the Rfam family "Bacterial small subunit ribosomal RNA", at positions 355 to 776 of the family's 1533-position model. Lineage: Bacteria; Pseudomonadati; Thermodesulfobacteriota; Desulfobacteria; Desulfobacterales; Desulfobacteraceae. The record is from RNAcentral.